This 692-nucleotide ribosomal RNA is filed under the name uncultured Bacilli bacterium. Its description in RNAcentral is "bacterial SSU rRNA". It matches the Rfam family "Bacterial small subunit ribosomal RNA", at positions 73 to 737 of the family's 1533-position model. Lineage: Bacteria; Bacillati; Bacillota; Bacilli. The record is from RNAcentral.
UUUUCCACCGGAGCUUGCUCCACCGGAAAAAGAGGAGUGGCGAACGGGUGAGUAACACGUGGGUAACCUGCCCAUCAGAAGGGGAUAACACUUGGAAACAGGUGCUAAUACCGUAUAACAAUCGAAACCGCAUGGUUUUGAUUUGAAAGGCGCUUUCGGGUGUCGCUGAUGGAUGGACCCGCGGUGCAUUAGCUAGUUGGUGAGGUAACGGCUCACCAAGGCCACGAUGCAUAGCCGACCUGAGAGGGUGAUCGGCCACAUUGGGACUGAGACACGGCCCAAACUCCUACGGGAGGCAGCAGUAGGGAAUCUUCGGCAAUGGACGAAAGUCUGACCGAGCAACGCCGCGUGAGUGAAGAAGGUUUUCGGAUCGUAAAACUCUGUUGUUAGAGAAGAACAAGGAUGAGAGUAACUGUUCAUCCCUUGACGGUAUCUAACCAGAAAGCCACGGCUAACUACGUGCCAGCAGCCGCGGUAAUACGUAGGUGGCAAGCGUUGUCCGGAUUUAUUGGGCGUAAAGCGAGCGCAGGCGGUUUCUUAAGUCUGAUGUGAAAGCCCCCGGCUCAACCGGGGAGGGUCAUUGGAAACUGGGAGACUUGAGUGCAGAAGAGGAGAGUGGAAUUCCAUGUGUAGCGGUGAAAUGCGUAGAUAUAUGGAGGAACACCAGUGGCGAAGGCGGCUCUCUGGUCUGU